AAUAGAUACCCAGGUAGUCCACGCCGUAAACGAUGAGUGCUAAGUGUUAGGGGGUUUCCGCCCCUUAGUGCUGCAGCUAACGCAUUAAGCACUCCGCCUGGGGAGUACGGUCGCAAGACUGAAACUCAAAGGAAUUGACGGGGGCCCGCACAAGCGGUGGAGCAUGUGGUUUAAUUCGAAGCAACGCGAAGAACCUUACCAGGUCUUGACAUCCCACUGACCGCUAUGGAGACAUAGUUUUCCCUUCGGGGACAGUGGUGACAGGUGGUGCAUGGUUGUCGUCAGCUCGUGUCGUGAGAUGUUGGGUUAAGUCCCGCAACGAGCGCAACCCUUGAUCUUAGUUGCCAUCAUUUAGUUGGGCACUCUAAGGUGACUGCCGGUGACAAACCGGAGGAAGGUGGGGAUGACGUCAAAUCAUCAUGCCCCUUAUGACCUGGGCUACACACGUGCUACAAUGGACGGUACAAACGGUUGCCAACCCGCGAGGGGAGCUAAUCCGAUAAAACCGUUCUCAGUUCGGAUUGUAGGCUGCAACUCGCCUAC
Molecule: ribosomal RNA, 543 nt
Filed under: uncultured bacterium
Lineage: Bacteria
Description: bacterial SSU rRNA
Rfam family: Bacterial small subunit ribosomal RNA
Source: RNAcentral